GACGAACGCUGGCGGCGUGCCUAAUACAUGCAAGUCGAACGGACGGAUGGGAGCUUGCUCCCAGGCCUUCAGCGGCGGACGGGUGAGUAACACGACGUCAACCUUCCUGUAAGAUUGGGAUAACACCGGGAAACCGGGACUAAUACCGGAUAACUCUUUCCCUCACAUGAGGGAAAGCUGAAAGGUGGCAUCUCGCGAUCACUUACAGAUAGGCCCUCGGCGGAUUAGCUAGUUGGUGAGGUAACGGCUCACCAAGGCGACGAUGCGUAGCCGACCUGAGAGGGUGAUCGGCCACACUGGGACUGAGACACGGCCCAGACUCCUACGGGAGGCAGCAGUGGGGAAUUUUCGGCAAUGGGCGCAAGCCUGACGGAGCAAUGCCGCGUGAGUGAUGAAGGCUUUCGGGUUGUAAACCUCUGUUGUACGGAACGAAAAGGUACCGGAGUAAACGCGGGUAUCAUGACGGUACCGGAAGAGAAAGCACCGGCUAACUACGUG
Molecule: ribosomal RNA, 498 nt
Filed under: uncultured bacterium
Lineage: Bacteria
Description: partial 16S ribosomal RNA
Rfam family: Bacterial small subunit ribosomal RNA
Source: RNAcentral